GAUGAACGCUGGCGGCGUGCCUAAUACAUGCAAGUCGAGCGAACAGACGAGGAGCUUGCUCCUCUGACGUUAGCGGCGGACGGGUGAGUAACACGUGGAUAACCUACCUAUAAUACUGGGAUAACUUCGGGAAACCGGAGCUAAUACCGGAUAAUAUAUUGAACCGCAUGGUUCAAUAGUGAAAGACGGUUUUGCUGUCACUUAUAGAUGGAUCCGCGCUGCAUUAGCUAGUUGGUAAGGUAACGGCGUACCAAGGCAACGAUGCGUAGCCGACCUGAGAGGGUGAUCGGCCACACUGGAACUGAGACACGGUCCAGACUCCUACGGGAGGCAGCAGUAGGGAAUCUUCCGCAAUGGGCGAAAGCCUGACGGAGCAACGCCGCGUGAGUGAUGAAGGUCUUCGGAUCGUAAAACUCUGUUAUUAGGGAAGAACAAAUGUGUAAGUAACUAUGCACGUCUUGACGGUACCUAAUCAGAAAGCCACGGCUAACUACGUG
Molecule: ribosomal RNA, 497 nt
Filed under: uncultured bacterium
Lineage: Bacteria
Description: partial 16S ribosomal RNA
Rfam family: Bacterial small subunit ribosomal RNA
Source: RNAcentral